This 473-nucleotide ribosomal RNA is filed under the name uncultured bacterium. RNAcentral describes it as "partial 16S ribosomal RNA". It matches the Rfam family "Bacterial small subunit ribosomal RNA", at positions 28 to 507 of the family's 1533-position model. The record is from RNAcentral.
GAUGAACGCUGGCGGCGCGCCUAAGACAUGCAAGUUGAACGGACUUACUCGAAGUUUUUUCCUUUUGAGGCGGUUAGUGGCGGACUGGUGAGUCACGCGUAAGGAACCUGCCUAUUUGUGGGGACUUACAGUGAGAAAUCAUUGCUACUACUGCAUAUGUCAUAGAUAUCACAUGAUAACAGAGGGAAAGGAGCCAUCCGCUAAUAGAUGGCCUGGCGUCUGAUUAGAUAGUUGGUGAGGUAACGGCCUACCAAGUCGACGAUCAGUAGCCGGACUGAGAGGUUAAGGGGCCGCAUUCUAAGUGAGACACGGGUCGGGCACCUACGGGAAGCAGCAGAAGGGAAUAGUGCGAAAUCGAGGAAACUCAGACGGAGUGACGCCGCGUAAAAGAAGAAGGUUAUCGAAGUGUAAACGAGUAACGUAAUAGAAGCGAAAUGACGGUACCUAAGGAGAAAGCUCCGGCUAACUACGUG